GAUGAACGCUGGCGGCGUGCUUAACACAUGCAAGUCGAACGGGAAAUAUUUCAUUGAGACUUCGGUGGAUUUGAUCUAUUUCUAGUGGCGGACGGGUGAGUAACGCGUGGGUAACCUGCCUUAUACAGGGGGAUAACAGUCAGAAAUGGCUGCUAAUACCGCAUAAGCGCACAGAGCUGCAUGGCUCAGUGUGAAAAACUCCGGUGGUAUAAGAUGGACCCGCGUUGGAUUAGCUUGUUGGUGGGGUAACGGCCCACCAAGGCGACGAUCCAUAGCCGACCUGAGAGGGUGACCGGCCACAUUGGGACUGAGACACGGCCCAGACUCCUACGGGAGGCAGCAGUGGGGAAUAUUGCACAAUGAGGGAAACCCUGAUGCAGCGACGCCGCGUGAAGGAAGAAGUAUCUCGGUAUGUAAACUUCUAUCAGCAGGGAAGAUAGUGACGGUACCUGACUAAGAAGCCCCGGCUAACUACGUGCCAGCAGCCGCGGUAAUACGUAGGGGGCAAGCGUUAUCCGGAUUUACUGGGUGUAAAGGGAGCGUAGACGGUGUGGCAAGUCUGAUGUGAAAGGCAUGGGCUCAACCUGUGGACUGCAUUGGAAACUGUCAUACUUGAGUGCCGGAGGGGUAAGCGGAAUUCCUAGUGUAGCGGUGAAAUGCGUAGAUAUUAGGAGGAACACCAGUGGCGAAGGCGGCU
This 697-nucleotide ribosomal RNA is filed under the name uncultured Lachnospiraceae bacterium. Its description in RNAcentral is "bacterial SSU rRNA". It matches the Rfam family "Bacterial small subunit ribosomal RNA", at positions 28 to 726 of the family's 1533-position model. The record is from RNAcentral. Lineage: Bacteria; Bacillati; Bacillota; Clostridia; Lachnospirales; Lachnospiraceae.